This 253-nucleotide ribosomal RNA is filed under the name uncultured prokaryote. RNAcentral's name for it is "partial 16S ribosomal RNA". It matches the Rfam family "Bacterial small subunit ribosomal RNA", at positions 525 to 777 of the family's 1533-position model. The record is from RNAcentral.
ACGAAGGGUGCAAGCGUUACUCGGAAUUACUGGGCGUAAAGCGUGCGUAGGUGGUUCGUUAAGUCUGAUGUGAAAGCCCUGGGCUCAACCUGGGAAUGGCAUUGGAUACUGGCGACCUAGAGUGCGGUAGAGGGUAGCGGAAUUCCCGGUGUAGCAGUGAAAUGCGUAGAGAUGUGGAGGAACACCAGUGGCGAAGGCGGCUUCCUGGUCUGUCACUGACGCUGAGGCGCGAGAGCGUGGGGAGCGAACAGGA